Molecule: transfer RNA, 74 nt
Filed under: Dipodomys ordii (Ord's kangaroo rat)
Lineage: Eukaryota; Metazoa; Chordata; Mammalia; Rodentia; Heteromyidae
Rfam family: tRNA
About the family: Transfer RNA (tRNA) molecules are approximately 80 nucleotides in length. Their secondary structure includes four short double-helical elements and three loops (D, anti-codon, and T loops). Further hydrogen bonds mediate the characteristic L-shaped molecular structure. tRNAs have two regions of fundamental functional importance: the anti-codon, which is responsible for specific mRNA codon recognition, and the 3' end, to which the tRNAs corresponding amino acid is attached (by aminoacyl-tRNA synthetases). tRNAs cope with the degeneracy of the genetic code in two manners: having more than one tRNA (with a specific anti-codon) for a particular amino acid; and 'wobble' base-pairing, i.e. permitting non-standard base-pairing at the 3rd anti-codon position.
Source: Rfam by way of RNAcentral
GGAGGCAUUGCUUAAGUGGUAAGAACACCUGCCUAGCAAGCAUGAGGCCCUGAGUUCAAACCCCAGUACUGCUA